AGUGAACGCUGGCGGUAUGCCUAACACAUGCAAGUCGAACGGCAGCACAGUAAGAUCUUGCUCUUACGGGUGGCGAGUGGCGGACGGGUGAGGAAUACAUCGGAAUCUACUUUUUCGUGGGGGAUAACGUAGGGAAACUUACGCUAAUACCGCAUAUGUCCUACGGGUGGAAGCAGGGGAUCUUCGGAGCUUUCGCGAUUGUAUUAGCCGAUGUCGGAUUAGCUAGUUGGCUGGGUAAAGGCCCACCAAGGCGACGAUCCGUAGCUGGUCUGAGAGGAUGAUCAGCCACACUGGAACUGAGACACGGUCCAGACUCCUACGGGAGGCAGCAGUGGGGAAUAUUGGACAAAGGGCGCAAGCCUGAUCCAGCCAUACCGCGUGGGUGAAGAAGGCCUUCGGGUUGUAAAGCCCUUUUGUUGGGAAAGAAAAGCAGCAGGUUAAUACCCCGCUGUUCUGACGGUACCCAAAGAAUAAGCACCGGCUAACUACGUG
Molecule: ribosomal RNA, 492 nt
Filed under: uncultured bacterium
Lineage: Bacteria
Description: partial 16S ribosomal RNA
Rfam family: Bacterial small subunit ribosomal RNA
Source: RNAcentral